This 408-nucleotide ribosomal RNA is filed under the name uncultured bacterium. RNAcentral describes it as "partial 16S ribosomal RNA". It matches the Rfam family "Bacterial small subunit ribosomal RNA", at positions 28 to 526 of the family's 1533-position model. The record is from RNAcentral.
GAUGAACGCUGGAGGCGUGCUUAACACAUGCAAGUCGAACGGAGUGGCGAACGGGUGAGUAAAACGUGGGAGAACUGAACAGUACUUCGGGAUAAGCUUGGGAAACUGGGUCUAAUACCGGAUAGUAUGGGAUGAGCUCGCGGCCUAUCAGAUAGUUGGAGGGGUAAUGGCCUACCAAGGCGUCGACGGGUAGCCGGCCUGAGAGGGUGUACGGCCACAUUGGGCCUGAGAUACCUCCCAGACUCCUACGCGAGGCAGCAGUGGGGAAUAUUGCACGAUGGGCGCAAGCCUGAUGCAGCGACCCCGCGUGGGGGAUUAAUGCCUUCGGCUUGUAAACUCCUUUCGCUAGGUACGCGUUACCUGGAGAAGAAGCACCGGCUAACUACGUGCCAGCAGCCGCGGUAAUUC